RNAcentral lists this ribosomal RNA (495 nucleotides) under uncultured bacterium. RNAcentral describes it as "partial 16S ribosomal RNA". It matches the Rfam family "Bacterial small subunit ribosomal RNA", at positions 29 to 507 of the family's 1533-position model. The record is from RNAcentral.
AUGAACGCUGGCGGCGUGCCUAAUACAUGCAAGUCGAGCGAACGGACGAGAAGCUUGCUUCUCUGAUGUUAGCGGCGGACGGGUGAGUAACACGUGGAUAACCUACCUAUAAGACUGGGAUAACUUCGGGAAACCGGAGCUAAUACCGGAUAAUAUUUUGAACCGCAUGGUUCAAAAGUGAAAGACGGUCUUGCUGUCACUUAUAGAUGGAUCCGCGCUGCAUUAGCUAGUUGGUAAGGUAACGGCUUACCAAGGCAACGAUGCAUAGCCGACCUGAGAGGGUGAUCGGCCACACUGGAACUGAGACACGGUCCAGACUCCUACGGGAGGCAGCAGUAGGGAAUCUUCCGCAAUGGCGAAAGCCUGACGGAGCAACGCCGCGUGAGUGAUGAAGGUCUUCGGAUCGUAAAACUCUGUUAUUAGGGAAGAACAUAUGUGUAAGUAACUGUGCACAUCUUGACGGUACCUAAUCAGAAAGCCACGGCUAACUACGUG